This 1230-nucleotide long non-coding RNA is filed under the name Marmota monax (woodchuck). Lineage: Eukaryota; Metazoa; Chordata; Mammalia; Rodentia; Sciuridae. The record is from RNAcentral.
CUGGAGCCUGAAAUCAAGGGACUGGGACAAGGUCCUCAAGAAGGACAGCUGGGGGCUCCAGCUAGGAAUCAGGCCCAGGAAUAGAGAGCCAAGUGCCUUGGCCCUGGCCAGUGUUGCAUGAAAAGAGACAGGGCUCAGAAGGAGAUGGGGGGAGAGAGGUGGCAAAGGAAUUGGGGGUCUCAAGGCCCAGGUCCACUGCUGGGUGUCAGUGUUGUGGAGCAGGACCUAGGCUGAGGAAGGCCAAAGGCUCAGGUAGGGGCAGGGUUACCUUUUCCCAAAGGGAGCCCAGAGAUCCAAAAGGACUGUUCCAGUCCCCUGGCCCUGGUAAUUCUGGGAAAGGGAUCAGGAAAAGGGGCCUGGCAGGGACAAAGAACCCACAAAGAGCCCAGGCUAGGGACCUAGAGGAGGGCCCAUGCCAGCAGAGAGAAGGGAAGGGCGGGCCUGGGCAGGAGGGCAGCACUAGGGUUCUGCAAUGCAGGGAAGUCAAGGGGAGCAGGGAAGUGGCUCAAGCGAGGGGCCCGCAGUCCAAGCACAGAGUAAGAAGGGCCACAAGAGGCUCAAGUGAGGAGCCAGGCCAGAGAUUGGAGAGCCAAGAGCCAGGACUGGGGCAGGGGACUCAGGACAGUGAACAGGGCUGAGGAGGGAAGGCAGGGGAUCCCCCAGGGUGGAUGCAGGCUUGAGUGCCAUCGCCAUGGCCAGGUGUCAGGGUUCUGGGUGUAGGACCAAGGGCCCAGGGAGGGCAAGGGGCCCAGGUGAGGGGCAGGUCUCUGUUUUCCAUAAGGCACUCUGGCCCAGAUGAGAAUCAAGGGCCAGAGAUGGGGUCAAGGGGACCUGGCAGGGGACAAGGGCCUGGAGAAUGGCGACAGGAGGACAUGGCACAGGGUCGCUGUUGGUGCAGUUGGUGCAGAGAGGGGCAAUAGCCAGGACCCAAGCAAGGAGCCCUGGCAAGGGAAUGACCAGCCAAAAGAGGAUUAGGAAUCCAAGGAGCAGGAUACCAGAACUCCAGGGGAAAGGGCUAGCGGAAGGAUAGGAAGGGUGGUGCUAGGAUGAGGAAAAAGAGGCUGGUGCAAAGGGUAAGGAGGGGAACACAGUAUGGGGCCCAAGCAAGAGGCCCCAGGUCAGACCUGACACCAAGAGACACCACACAAAGCUACACAACACCAGGAAUGUGGUCAGGGGUGCAGGUGAACAGCCAGGCCCAGGGACUGGAGCACAAAGGGUCAGGGUUAG